CACUCCUACGGGAGGCAGCAGUGGGGAAUAUUGGACAAUGGGCGCAAGCCUGAUCCAGCCAUGCCGCGUGAGUGAUGAAGGCCCUAGGGUUGUAAAGCUCUUUCACCGGUGAAGAUAAUGACGGUAACCGGAGAAGAAGCCCCGGCUAACUUCGUGCCAGCAGCCGCGGUAAUACGAAGGGGGCUAGCGUUGUUCGGAUUUACUGGGCGUAAAGCGCACGUAGGCGGACUAUUAAGUCAGGGGUGAAAUCCCGGGGCUCAACCCCGGAACUGCCUUUGAUACUGGUAGUAUUGAGUUCGAGGGAGGUGAGUGGAAUUCCGAGUGUAGAGGUGAAAUUCGUAGAUAUUCGGAGGAACACCAGUGGCGAAGGCGGCUCACUGGCUCGAUACUGACGCUGAGGUGCGAAAGCGUGGGGAGCAAACAGGAUUAGAAACCCCGGUAGUCCCAUGAU
RNAcentral lists this ribosomal RNA (451 nucleotides) under uncultured organism. RNAcentral describes it as "partial 16S ribosomal RNA". It matches the Rfam family "Bacterial small subunit ribosomal RNA", at positions 334 to 801 of the family's 1533-position model. The record is from RNAcentral.